RNAcentral lists this ribosomal RNA (229 nucleotides) under uncultured bacterium. RNAcentral describes it as "partial 16S ribosomal RNA". It matches the Rfam family "Bacterial small subunit ribosomal RNA", at positions 568 to 796 of the family's 1533-position model. The record is from RNAcentral.
UGCGCAGGCGGAGUGAUAAGUCAGAGGUGAAAUCCCACGGCUCAACCGUGGAACUGCCUUUGAUACUGCCAUUCUUGAGUACAGUUGAAGUGGGCGGAAUGUGUCAUGUAGCGGUGAAAUGCAUAGAUAUGACACAGAACACCGAUAGCGAAGGCAGCUCACUAAGCUGUAACUGACGCUCAGGCACGAAAGCGUGGGGAGCAAACAGGAUUAGAUACCCUGGUAGUCC